Molecule: ribosomal RNA, 301 nt
Filed under: uncultured bacterium
Lineage: Bacteria
Description: partial 16S ribosomal RNA
Rfam family: Bacterial small subunit ribosomal RNA
Source: RNAcentral
CAGCAGCCGCGGGAAUACGUAGGUCCCGAGCGUUGUCCGGAUUUAUUGGGCGUAAAGCGAGCGCAGGCGGUUAGAUAAGUCUGAAGUUAAAGGCUGUGGCUUAACCAUAGUACGCUUUGGAAACUGUUUAACUUGAGUGCAAGAGGGGAGAGUGAAUUCCAUGUGUAGCGGUGAAAUGCGUAGAUAUAUGGAGGAACACCGGUGGCGAAAGCGGCUCUCUGGCUUGUAACUGACGCUGAGGCUCGAAAGCGUGGGGAGCAAACAGGAUUAGAUACCCGAGUGUCCAUGUCUCUUAUACACA